Molecule: long non-coding RNA, 577 nt
Filed under: Physcomitrium patens
Lineage: Eukaryota; Viridiplantae; Streptophyta; Bryopsida; Funariales; Funariaceae
Description: long non-coding RNA (PPAT_LNC009944)
Source: RNAcentral
UAGGGCACCAAUAUAGCUAAAUGGAGAUGGGUGAUGAAAAUUUCCAUUCCUAUUGGUCAAAAAUCAUGACCAAUGGGCUUUGAAGAGGCUGCCCGAGGCCAUAUUAGGGAUUAGGGUUAGUUUUUUGGGACCAUUUGAGCUUUGAAGGCUAAGGUCAGCAAGUUCAGGAUUUUGGCUAUGAUUUUAGUACAAAUUUUGUAUGGUUUGGAGUUUAUAUGAAGGAGAUAUAGGUGCUCAAAGUUAAAGUUUUGAUUUGGGAGCUACUUUUACUCUUUUUGGCAUAAUGCAUGCGUACAGAAGGCAAUUGAGAAUUGGAAAUUGCCACUAAAGAGAGUACUUUUGCGGCUACAUUUUUCAUAACAGCUUGCUGAAUUUCAAGUUGAAAUCAAGGAGUUAAUGGAUUUUGAAGUCAGUCCAUGCAAUCUAACGGUAGCAAGUGACCCGAUUUACUAGUGGUUGUGUCUUGAGCUAUAUCUUGAGCAAUUUGACAAGGAUUUGGUUCAAAAUUUAAGAAAAUGUAUAAUUUUAUAUUAAUAAACUUUGUACAUAAUUUUGAUGAUAUUUGAGAAUUGGAUUC